RNA transcript from Daucus carota subsp. sativus, 1422 nucleotides. It is a transcript of the gene named octanoyltransferase LIP2p, chloroplastic, with no coding region annotated. The record is from RefSeq and is a predicted model, not a curated record. The transcript is spliced from 5 exons. Lineage: Eukaryota; Viridiplantae; Streptophyta; Magnoliopsida; Apiales; Apiaceae.
CAUUCCCCUUGGACAGAUCCUUCGUCUUUUUACUUACCCUUGCUCUCGGCAGUGGCUUAAACAUUCAACCUCCAAGACUCUCAACGUUUCUCAAAAUUGAAUAUUGUUUACUCCGCCUGGACAACUUUGUUAAAAUCUUAUCUACUUCUUGUUCAAACAAACCUUUAAAUUUUAAUCAAUGGACUUAAAUAUUUUCUUGAAAACAUAAUUAAGAGUAGCUGCAAUAUGAUUGCAAACCCCAGUUUUGGGCUACACCCACCUCAAAUUUCUUCAAGAAAAUCAAACCCUUCAAUUCAUUUCUCAAAUUUCAAUCCUCCCCAAGCAAUUCCCAUAGCCCAUGACCUAAAAAGGAGGUGUGAUGUUUUUGAUUUGCACAAUGAGCUUGUUCCAUAUGCUGAGGCAUGGGCUUGGCAAAAAUCAAUCGUGGAAAAAAGAAAAAAAUUGAUUGAUAAUGAUGAAGAUGUUUGUGAUAGUGUUGUUAUUUUACAGCAUCCCUCUGUUUAUACAUUGGGAACUGGUAGUUCUGAGGAUCACUUGAAGGGGAUCAAGAAUUUUUAUCGGACUGAUCGAGGUGGUGAAGUUACUUAUCAUGGUCCAGGACAGCUAGUCAUGUACCCUAUUCUCAAUCUUCGUUACCACACUAUGGAUCUUCAUUGGUACCUUAGAGCUCUUGAGGAGGUGGUGAUUCGAGUGCUGUCCUCUUGUUUUACUAUAAAGGCUUCAAGGCACAAGGGUCUGACUGGUGUUUGGGUUGAUUUUCUCAGCGAUGAUUGAACAUCAUGACAAGUCCAGUCUACAAUUUAUUUGAUUCAGCCCUGUGACAAUGUGACCGAGGACAGGGAUGUGGUGACAUUGUCUGUGAAUCCUCUACUUGGCACUACAAAUCGUCGUAAGAUCUUGCAUUCCAGUUACAUGGUCGGUUCUUCAAUCAGAACUUCCAGAAAAGAGCUUGUGGUUUAAGUUAUUGAACGGGUCAAUUCAAAGAUCUGCGAGUCUGCCAGCCAUUCAUAAUUUUCAUGGAGUAUAGAUCCAGGUAACAUGUAAAAUUUGUGAAUUUUGGAAGUGUAUUGCUAACAGCUAGGAAGUGUAUUGCUAACAGCUAUGCAAAAUGGACAAGAUUAUAAUCCGAUUAAUAAGAAGGCAAGAAAGCAGCUGGUCCAGAACAACGAAUGAUAGCAUCAUACGUCUAAUGGAAAAAAAAGCGCUCGACAUGAAAACCCUAGAAUGAGGUAAUUUUGCACCGAGUGAUAUUGUAACACCCGGUCUAUACUCUAUAUACAUCAAAAAUAUAGAAUUAAGGUGUGCAACGCUUUUUUUUUUCCAGCUGAACAUAUGCUACUAACAUAUAUAUAUAUUAAGGACAAAUACAAAACAUAAAUAAAAUGAAGAUUUUUAUCACGACAAUUUGAUGCUCGAGUUAUA